GCGCGAUCUGCGUCAGAAAUAGGAAUGAGUUCUAUUUUAGCCGUUGGCGUCGCAGACCCUCGUUGGCGCACGCGAGCAGUGUGGAUGCAAUAAUUGAAUAACAUGGAUUUCUACACUUAUUUUGCGACGCUCGCGCAAGCGACGUGUCCGGUCUGGUCAGCAUAGCCCAUAGGACUCCGGUCAAAAGUAAGUCACUAUAGGGAGCCAUUUGGGACCAAUGCAACAUAGUGCAGUUGGAGGCCUUGAUGAAGACAGCCAGGGAGGAGGUAAUGACGGCAACCGUGAGAACACAUGGAACCUAUAGAAUGUGAUGUCAUCGUGGCAUGGAACACCCAACAUACAGCAUCCUACAGGCCCACCGAUCAACAAGAGAGCGCUAUCAGAAUGUACACAAAGAACCAAGCUCAAGAAAAUAAAAAGAUUAACACAUUUUUAAAAGGGAACAAGUCUUCGUUUUAACUGUGAAUAUUCAGUCUACAAUAUUUUAGAAAUAAUAAUAUACAAGUUUAGAAUAUUACACUUCUUCA
Oncorhynchus gorbuscha (pink salmon) is the source of this 527-nucleotide long non-coding RNA. RefSeq lists it as uncharacterized. The transcript is spliced from 3 exons. The record is from RefSeq and is a predicted model, not a curated record. Lineage: Eukaryota; Metazoa; Chordata; Actinopteri; Salmoniformes; Salmonidae.